This 24-nucleotide microRNA is filed under the name Triops cancriformis. Its description in RNAcentral is "tcf-miR-10325". Lineage: Eukaryota; Metazoa; Arthropoda; Branchiopoda; Notostraca; Triopsidae. The record is from miRBase by way of RNAcentral.
UAUCAUCGUCUUCUAUGGAUGGCU